Strigops habroptila (Kakapo) is the source of this 775-nucleotide long non-coding RNA. RefSeq lists it as uncharacterized. NCBI's taxonomy places the organism in Eukaryota, Metazoa, Chordata, Aves, Psittaciformes, Psittacidae. The record is from RefSeq and is a predicted model, not a curated record. The transcript has 3 exons.
GGCCGAGGGGCUCGAUGGGCGCUGCGGAGGGUUCAGCGGGGCGGACCGGACCUUUUGUGAGGCUUUCCGCCUCCACCUCGGCACGGCGGUGUAGGGUAUCUUACAACUACUAAAUCUUUUAUAUGGGCAUUUAGUGAGGCUUUAAGGGAUUGAGAGUCUCUCACUGCCUGACCUCUUCCCCUGGAGCUGCUUUGACCUCAUUGCAGGCUAUCAUAUUCAUCCAGGCUGCAGCUGAAGAGUUUUCUAAACUCAAUUAGUGCAAGAAUGCUAUGACCAAUGGAAAAAUGUUUGAUGCGUGCCAGAAAACAAAUCUUCCCAGCUCUUGGAAAUAUGUUCUGAAAACAAAUAAGGAUCACACAAGAUUUUCAUACUAAGAAAUAUUUUUUUCCUAGGAAAAUGUUUAAAAUCUAAAGCAAAAUUUUCAGUUUAAUUAUCCUUCUCUAAGGAAGGUCUAUAGCAUAAGCUCGGGAAGACAAGGAUAUGGAUUUAUCCUGAUUGGUGUGAACACUGACUCCCACUUGCAGAUUGUAAAUGUUAAUAUCACAUUGAGAUUGAAAACACAAGUAAUGUAGAAAUUAACACAGUGACAGGCAUAUUCACACUGAAAUUCUUUGAAUAUAAAUAAUUAGCAAUACAACGGGUUACUCAGGAUGCCACACUGAGCAUUGCUACUUGGGAAAAAUCACAGUUAAUGAUUGUCUUGACUUUAGUUUUGCAUGAAUAGUAUAGCUCUUUCAGUACAAUAAAUAAAAGAAAUACAAAGCCCAUCUUGGAU